Vombatus ursinus (common wombat) is the source of this 104-nucleotide small nuclear RNA. NCBI's taxonomy places the organism in Eukaryota, Metazoa, Chordata, Mammalia, Diprotodontia, Vombatidae. The record is from Ensembl.
GUGCUUACUUCAGCAGCACAUAUGCUAAAAUUGGAAUAAUAAAGAGAUUAGUAUGGUUCAUGUUCAAGGUUGACAUGCAAAUUCAUGAAGCAAUCUUUAAUGUA